UACGUAGGGAGCAAGCGUUGUCCGGAAUCAUUGGGCGUAAAGCGCGCGUAGGUGGCUUCGUAAGUCCGUUGUGAAAGUCAAAGGCUCAACCUUUGAAAGCCGAUGGAUACUGUGAAGCUAGAGUACGGAAGAGGCGAGUGGAAUUCCUGGUGUAGCGGUGGAAUGCGCAGAUAUCAGGAGGAACACCGAUGGCGAAGGCAGUGUUCUGGGCCAGUACUGACGCUGAGGAGCGAAAGCGUGGGGAGCAAACAGG
RNAcentral lists this ribosomal RNA (253 nucleotides) under uncultured bacterium. RNAcentral describes it as "partial 16S ribosomal RNA". It matches the Rfam family "Bacterial small subunit ribosomal RNA", at positions 524 to 776 of the family's 1533-position model. The record is from RNAcentral.